RNAcentral lists this ribosomal RNA (1444 nucleotides) under uncultured Bacteroidota bacterium. Its description in RNAcentral is "bacterial SSU rRNA". It matches the Rfam family "Bacterial small subunit ribosomal RNA". The record is from RNAcentral. Lineage: Bacteria; Pseudomonadati; Bacteroidota.
GAUGAACGCUAGCGACAGGCCUAACACAUGCAAGUCGAGGGGCAGCACAAGGAGCAAUCUGAGGUGGCGACCGGCGCACGGGUGAGUAACACGUAUGCAACCUGGCUGUAAUCGGGGUAUAGCCUCCUGAAAGGGAGAUUAACACCCCAUGAUACCUUUUUAUCGCAUGAUAAAAAGGUUAAAUUUGAAGAUUACAGAUGGGCAUGCGUUUCAUUAGCUGGUUGGUGAGGUAACGGCUCACCAAGCCCGCGAUCCUUAGGGGAACUGAGAGGUUUAUCCCCCACACUGGUACUGAGACACGGACCAGACUCCUACGGGAGGCAGCAGUGAGGAAUAUUGGUCAAUGGUCGGGAGACUGAACCAGCCAAAUCGCGUGAAGGACGACGGUAUUAUGUAUUGUAAACUUCUUUUAUGAGGGAAUAAAGUGCACCACGUGUGGUGUUUUGUAUGUACCUUAUGAAUAAGCAUCGGCUAACUCCGUGCCAGCAGCCGCGGUAAUACGGAGGAUGCGAGCGUUAUCCGGAUUUAUUGGGUUUAAAGGGUGCGUAGGUGGGUCUAUAAGUCAGCGGUGAAAUCUCGAUGCUUAACAUCGAAAUUGCCGUUGAAACUGUAGACCUUGAGUAUGGACGAGGUAGGCGGAAUUCGUAGUGUAGCGGUGAAAUGCAUAGAUAUUACGAAGAACUCCAAUAGCGCAGGCAGCUUACCAGACCAUCACUGACACUGAAGCACGAAAGUGUGGGUAUCAAACAGGAUUAGAUACCCUGGUAGUCCACACAGUAAACGAUGAUAACUAACUGUUUGCGAUAUACAGUAAGCGGUACAGCGAAAGCGUUAAGUUAUCCACCUGGGGAGUACGCCGGCAACGGUGAAACUCAAAGGAAUUGACGGGGGCCCGCACAAGCGGAGGAACAUGUGGUUUAAUUCGAUGAUACGCGAGGAACCUUACCCGGGCUCGAACGGCUAAUGAAUAUAUGUGAAAGCAUAUAGCUAGCAAUAGUAUUAGUCGAGGUGCUGCAUGGUUGUCGUCAGCUCGUGCCGUGAGGUGUCGGCUUAAGUGCCAUAACGAGCGCAACCCUUAUCUUUAGUUACCAUCAGGCCAUGCUGGGGACUCUAGAGAGACUGCCACCGUAAGGUGUGAGGAAGGUGGGGAUGACGUCAAAUCAGCACGGCCCUUACGUCCGGGGCUACACACGUGUUACAAUGGGAGGGACAAAGGGCAGCUACCUGGCGACAGGAUGCGAAUCUCUAAACCCUCUCCCAGUUCGGAUUGGAGUCUGCAACCCGACUCCAUGAAGCUGGAUUCGCUAGUAAUCGCGCAUCAGCCAUGGCGCGGUGAAUACGUUCCCGGGCCUUGUACACACCGCCCGUCAAGCCAUGGAAGCCGGGGGUACCUGAAGUACGUAACCGCAAGGAGCGUCCUAGGGUAAAACUGGUAACUGGGGCU